GGGGGCUAGCGUUGUUCGGAAUUACUGGGCGUAAAGCGCACGUAGGCGGACAUUUAAGUCAGGGGUGAAAUCCCAGUGCUCAACUCUGGAACUGCCUUUGAUACUGGGUGUCUUGAGUAUGGAAGAGGUGAGUGGAAUUCCGAGUGUAGAGGUGAAAUUCGUAGAUAUUCGGAGGAACACCAGUGGCGAAGGCGGCUCACUGGUCCAUUACUGACGCUGAGGUGCGAAAGCGUGGGGAGCAAACAGG
RNAcentral lists this ribosomal RNA (247 nucleotides) under uncultured bacterium. RNAcentral's name for it is "partial 16S ribosomal RNA". It matches the Rfam family "Bacterial small subunit ribosomal RNA", at positions 530 to 776 of the family's 1533-position model. The record is from RNAcentral.